RNAcentral lists this ribosomal RNA (430 nucleotides) under uncultured bacterium. RNAcentral describes it as "bacterial SSU rRNA". It matches the Rfam family "Bacterial small subunit ribosomal RNA", at positions 30 to 460 of the family's 1533-position model. The record is from RNAcentral.
AUUGAACGCUGGCGGCAUGCCUUACACAUGCAAGUCGAACGGCAGCACGGGAGCUUGCUCCUGGUGGCGAGUGGCGAACGGGUGAGUAAUACAUCGGAACGUACCCUGAAGUGGGGGAUAACGUAGCGAAAGUUGCGCUAAUACCGCAUAUUCUGUGAGCAGGAAAGCAGGGGACCGCAAGGCCUUGCGCUCUUUGAGCGGCCGAUGUCAGAUUAGCUAGUUGGUGAGGUAACGGCUUACCAAGGCGACGAUCUGUAGCGGGUCUGAGAGGAUGAUCCGCCACACUGGAACUGAGACACGGUCCAGACUCCUACGGGAGGCAGCAGUGGGGAAUUUUGGACAAUGGGCGCAAGCCUGAUCCAGCCAUGCCGCGUGAGUGAAGAAGGCCUCGGUUGUAAGACGUACUUUCGGUCCGGGAACGGAAAGUACG